This 253-nucleotide ribosomal RNA is filed under the name uncultured bacterium. RNAcentral's name for it is "partial 16S ribosomal RNA". It matches the Rfam family "Bacterial small subunit ribosomal RNA", at positions 524 to 776 of the family's 1533-position model. The record is from RNAcentral.
UACGGAGGGUGCAAGCGUUAUCCGGAUUUACUGGGUUUAAAGGGAGCGUAGGUGGGUCGGUAAGUCAGUGGUGAAAUCUUCGAGCUUAACUCGGAAACUGCCAUUGAUACUAUCGAUCUUGAAUUAUCUGGGGGUAAGCGGAAUAUGUCAUGUAGCGGUGAAAUGCUUAGAUAUGACAUAGAACACCCAUUGCGAAGGCAGCUUACUACGGAUAUAUUGACACUGAGGCUCGAAAGCGUGGGGAUCAAACAGG